Molecule: ribosomal RNA, 289 nt
Filed under: uncultured Pseudonocardia sp.
Lineage: Bacteria; Bacillati; Actinomycetota; Actinomycetes; Pseudonocardiales; Pseudonocardiaceae
Description: partial 16S ribosomal RNA
Rfam family: Bacterial small subunit ribosomal RNA
Source: RNAcentral
UUAACCUUGAGCUUGCGGUCGAUACGGGCAUGACUGGAGUUCGGCAGGGGAGACUGGAAUUCCUGGUGUAGCGGUGAAAUGCGCAGAUAUCAGGAGGAACACCGGUGGCGAAGGCGGGUCUCUGGGCCGAUACUGACGCUGAGGAGCGAAAGCGUGGGGAGCGAACAGGAUUAGAUACCCUGGUAGUCCACGCCGUAAACGGUGGACGCUAGGUGUGGGGGCCAUUCCACGGUCUCUGUGCCGCAGCUAACGCAUUAAGCGCCCCGCCUGGGGAGUACGGCCGCAAGGC